Molecule: transfer RNA, 74 nt
Filed under: Tursiops truncatus (common bottlenose dolphin)
Lineage: Eukaryota; Metazoa; Chordata; Mammalia; Artiodactyla; Delphinidae
Description: tRNA-Lys (TTT) (tRNA-Lys-TTT-37-1)
Rfam family: tRNA
About the family: Transfer RNA (tRNA) molecules are approximately 80 nucleotides in length. Their secondary structure includes four short double-helical elements and three loops (D, anti-codon, and T loops). Further hydrogen bonds mediate the characteristic L-shaped molecular structure. tRNAs have two regions of fundamental functional importance: the anti-codon, which is responsible for specific mRNA codon recognition, and the 3' end, to which the tRNAs corresponding amino acid is attached (by aminoacyl-tRNA synthetases). tRNAs cope with the degeneracy of the genetic code in two manners: having more than one tRNA (with a specific anti-codon) for a particular amino acid; and 'wobble' base-pairing, i.e. permitting non-standard base-pairing at the 3rd anti-codon position.
Source: RNAcentral
UCCCUGGUGGUCCAGUGGUUAGGACUUGGUGCUUUUACUGCCGUCAGCCUGGGGUUCGAUCCCCGGUCAGGGAA